CGCGUAGGUGGCCUUCUAAGUCGAACGUGAAAUCCCCGGGCUCAACCCGGGAACUGCGUCCGAUACUGGAAGGCUUGAAUCCGGGAGAGGGAUGCGGAAUUCCAGGUGUAGCGGUGAAAUGCGUAGAUAUCUGGAGGAACACCGGUGGCGAAGGCGGCAUCCUGGACCGGCAUUGACGCUGAGGCGCGAAAGCCAGGGGAGCAAACG
This 207-nucleotide ribosomal RNA is filed under the name uncultured bacterium. RNAcentral describes it as "partial 16S ribosomal RNA". It matches the Rfam family "Bacterial small subunit ribosomal RNA", at positions 568 to 774 of the family's 1533-position model. The record is from RNAcentral.